GUCAUGCAUUAAAAUAUUAAGAAUAAGCAUGUCAAGGAUCAAAAUCAAUUCUUUUUCAAAUAAACUCCCCCUAUUUAAAUAUAAUCUUGCAUUGAUUUCAUCCUUAAGGUGUGUUUCCAAGUGAUUAAAGCUUGACUUGAUGCUUCUUAUAUACUUUCAUUUACUUUGUCAUUUAUUUUUACUUUCUUAUGCUCUAUUCUCUAUUUGCUCCCUAUCCGGUGGAGUUGGAAGGGGCACGAGGUACUACCACUAGCCUCCCUCUUGUGCCGUCCCUAAUAUACCCUACACCGAAUAGUCGGGUCAAAUAGUGCCGGGUACUACCACUAGCCUCCCCAUUGGCACCAUCCCUAUGAUGAGCAGUAUAGGAAGGUUCAAAUGUUCACUUCAAACUUUCCUUGUUUAAGUGUAAUUAAUUACAGAUUUUAUCCCUUCCAAAAGUGCUGAAUAUAUUAUGCUUGUUUUUCUUUUCCUUAAGAUUGGAGUAUUUGCCUUUGCUUAGAUUUUACAUCUCUUGAAUAAUAUCCAUUUUCUUUUCUUUAUCUCUCUUUCUUUUUGUUAUUCUCAAGUAAUUUACAUGAAAGAGCAGAAUAAAG
RNAcentral lists this long non-coding RNA (593 nucleotides) under Phoenix dactylifera (date palm). RNAcentral's name for it is "long non-coding RNA (PDAC_LNC019948)". Lineage: Eukaryota; Viridiplantae; Streptophyta; Magnoliopsida; Arecales; Arecaceae. The record is from RNAcentral.